AGAGUUUGAUCCUGGCUCAGGACGAACGCUGGCGGCGUGCUUAACACAUGCAAGUCAAGGGGGCCCGCAAGGGCAACCGGCGAACGGGUGCGUAACACGUGAGCAACCUACCGAGAUGUGGGGGAUAGCCGGCCCAACGGCCGGGUAAUACCGCAUACGAUUGCUUGGGGGAGUCCCCGGGCAAGGAAACCCGCAAGGGGCAUUUCGAGGGGCUCGCGGCCUAUCAGCUAGUUGGCGGGGUAAUGGCCCACCAAGGCGACGACGGGUAGCUGGUCUGAGAGGAUGGCCAGCCACAUUGGGACUGAGAAACGGCCCAGACUCCUACGGGAGGCAGCAGUGGGGAAUCUUGCGCAAUGGUCGAGAGACUGACGCAGCGACGCCACGUGUGGGAGGACGCCCUUCGGGGUGUAAACCACUGUUGCCCGGGACGAACAUCCACUUUCGAGUGGACUGACG
This 456-nucleotide ribosomal RNA is filed under the name uncultured soil bacterium. Its description in RNAcentral is "bacterial SSU rRNA". It matches the Rfam family "Bacterial small subunit ribosomal RNA", at positions 8 to 474 of the family's 1533-position model. The record is from RNAcentral.